CGAUGAACCUACUUCGGGAGGGGAUUAGUGGCGAACGGGUGAGUAACACGUGGGCAAUCUGCCCUGCACUCUGGGACAAGCCCUGGAAACGGGGUCUAAUACCGGAUACUGAUCAUCUUGGGCAUCCUUGGUGAUCGAAAGCUCCGGCGGUGCAGGAUGAGCCCGCGGCCUAUCAGCUUGUUGGUGAGGUAAUGGCUCACCAAGGCGACGACGGGUAGCCGGCCUGAGAGGGCGACCGGCCACACUGGGACUGAGACACGGCCCAGACUCCUACGGGAGGCAGCAGUGGGGAAUAUUGCACAAUGGGCGAAAGCCUGAUGCAGCGACGCCGCGUGAGGGAUGACGGCCUUCGGGUUGUAAACCUCUUUCAGCAGGGAAGAAGCGAAAGUGACGGUACCUGCAGAAGAAGCGCCGGCUAACUACGUGCCAGCAGCCGCGGUAAUACGUAGGGCGCGAGCGUUGUCCGGAAUUAUUGGGCGUAAAGAGCUCGUAGGCGGCUUGUCGCGUCGGUUGUGAAAGCCCGGGGCUUAACCCCGGGUCUGCAGUCGAUACGGGCAGGCUAGAGUUCGGUAGGGGAGAUCGGAAUUCCUGGUGUAGCGGUGAAAUGCGCAGAUAUCAGGAGGAACACCGGUGGCGAAGGCGGAUCUCUGGGCCGAUACUGACGCUGAGGAGCGAAAGCGUGGGGAGCGAACAGGAUUAGAUACCCUGGUAGUCCACGCCGUAAACGGUGGGCACUAGGUGUGGGCGACAUUCCACGUCGUCCGUGCCGCA
RNAcentral lists this ribosomal RNA (771 nucleotides) under Streptomyces sp. RNAcentral describes it as "bacterial SSU rRNA". It matches the Rfam family "Bacterial small subunit ribosomal RNA", at positions 67 to 850 of the family's 1533-position model. Lineage: Bacteria; Bacillati; Actinomycetota; Actinomycetes; Kitasatosporales; Streptomycetaceae. The record is from RNAcentral.